CCUACGGGAGGCAGCAGUAGGGAAUCUUCCACAAUGGGCGAAAGCCUGAUGGAGCAACGCCGCGUGGGUGAAGAAGGUCUUCGGAUCGUAAAACCCUGUUGUUAGAGAAGAAAGUGCGUGAGAGUAACUGUUCACGUUUCGACGGUAUCUAACCAGAAAGCCACGGCUAACUACGUGCCAGCAGCCGCGGUAAUACGUAGGUGGCAAGCGUUAUCCGGAUUUAUUGGGCGUAAAGGGAACGCAGGCGGUCUUUUAAGUCUGAUGUGAAAGCCUUCGGCUUAACCGGAGUAGUGCAUUGGAAACUGGGAGACUUGAGUGCAGAAGAGGAGAGUGGAACUCCAUGUGUAGCGGUGAAAUGCGUAGAUAUAUGGAAGAACACCAGUGGCGAAAGCGACUCGCUGGUCUGUAACUGACGCUGAGGUUCGAAAGCGUGGGUAGCAAACAGGAUUAGAUACCCGUGUAGUC
Molecule: ribosomal RNA, 465 nt
Filed under: uncultured bacterium
Lineage: Bacteria
Description: partial 16S ribosomal RNA
Rfam family: Bacterial small subunit ribosomal RNA
Source: RNAcentral